Patella vulgata (common limpet) is the source of this 734-nucleotide long non-coding RNA. RefSeq lists it as uncharacterized. The record is from RefSeq and is a predicted model, not a curated record. The transcript is spliced from 3 exons. NCBI's taxonomy places the organism in Eukaryota, Metazoa, Mollusca, Gastropoda, Patellidae.
UUUUUGUUGUUUUAAUGAUGACACGUGACCUGGGAUUAUCCUGUUGUACGGUCUGCAGAUCGCUCUUACUAUUGUUGGUAAAACUGACCUGACUAUACUACUAUAACCUGAUCUUCCUGGACUAGAUACAUUACGAUAUGAAGCUAAUAAUGGUUAUUGUUUUCUUGUUAUUCGUAACUCUUACUGAACAGAAAUCAAAGAAGUCAUAUACGGCGAGCUAUAGAUUAAUCAAGGCGGCAUGUGUAAAGCGAAUGAAACCAACUACUAAUUCACCUCCAGAAACUAGAGAAUUACCUUUCAUGUAUAACCUCCUUGAUUAUCUGGAGAAACGGAGUGGACGCCAUACCCCUGGAAACAAAGUUGAUCCAGAUCAUUUCGCUUCGGAUAAGCACAUUUCUUUAAAUACUGCUCGCAUACUUGCAGCAUUGGUCAGGUCGCUUCCGACAAGCACUUCUGAAAUCCACAAAGAAAUUCAGGAUUUGCACAAACGGUUAUUGAUGAAGAGGCUAACCGCAGCACGAAAGAGAAAACUGAAACAAAUUUUGAGGAAAUUUACUGGAACUGUCCGUCAUGGUGUAAUUAGAGAUGCCAUUGCCAGUGGUGAUCCGAAAGUCGGCUUAGAUAUGGUAUGUAGUAUCAUGAAAGCCGGUCUUUUAGAAAAAUAGCCAAUUGGAUGUAGAGAAUCAGAACAUUUGUAUUUAAUUAUGAUACAAAAAUAAAAUAACACAAUCUGU